CUCGGCCUCUGAUUCGCUGAAGAGUUCAGAAAUGUUUCCAACAUUUUUAAUUGCUUGGCUAGACCCUACCCCUUACCUUGCUGCCUUAGCAACAGCCUCCUCAAGAACCAGAGCAUCUGCAACUUCUUCUUUUGGCCCGAUAUCCACUUCAGUGUUGCCUUGGGCUGCAAGACCAAAAUAAAAGUUAGUAAAUGACGGAUUAUGGAAGCAUCACCAAAAGAAGCAAAAUAGAAGUAGCAAGGUGUACCUAUGAGAAUAAGCUAGUUCUUUUGGUUAAUUGCCCCCUUCCAGCUCUCAAGUUCAUCUUUUUUCUGGAAGGAUUUGAAAAAGAAUUGCCCGAAUAGGCGAUUGUGUGCCUCUCUGAUAUCAUCAUCAUACUUUUUUGACCACUUGGCCUUCCACCAAGUGGCAAAGAAUGGAGUACACUCAAAAUUGAGGGCCACAUGCUUGUGUGUUAUACAGCUCAUCACUUUCAAACUGCGCCGAGCAACCCGAAAUGUCACGUCGACGGGAAAGUGGAGGCAGAAGGAAGUCACACAACGCAUAAAGUCAAAGUAGAGCAUUGGGAUGGCCUACUUAAAUCCCAGGUGCCUACCACAGAAAUUAGGGUGGUAGACUUCUAGCUCGCGCUCGUAGCCCAUGCGAUC
This 647-nucleotide long non-coding RNA is filed under the name Malus domestica (apple). RNAcentral describes it as "long non-coding RNA (MDOM_LNC009381)". The record is from RNAcentral. Lineage: Eukaryota; Viridiplantae; Streptophyta; Magnoliopsida; Rosales; Rosaceae.